This 74-nucleotide transfer RNA is filed under the name Danionella translucida. It matches the Rfam family "tRNA". From Rfam's summary of the family: Transfer RNA (tRNA) molecules are approximately 80 nucleotides in length. Their secondary structure includes four short double-helical elements and three loops (D, anti-codon, and T loops). The record is from Rfam by way of RNAcentral. Lineage: Eukaryota; Metazoa; Chordata; Actinopteri; Cypriniformes; Danionidae. RNAcentral also lists the same sequence under 1 other name.
GGCCUGUUAGCUCAGCUGGUUAGAGCGUGGGGCUAAUAACGCCAAGGUCGUGGGUUCGAUCCCCACAUGGGCCA